This 1440-nucleotide ribosomal RNA is filed under the name Streptomyces pseudovenezuelae. RNAcentral describes it as "bacterial SSU rRNA". It matches the Rfam family "Bacterial small subunit ribosomal RNA". Lineage: Bacteria; Bacillati; Actinomycetota; Actinomycetes; Kitasatosporales; Streptomycetaceae. The record is from RNAcentral.
AUGCAAGUCGAACGAUGAACCACUUCGGUGGGGAUUAGUGGCGAACGGGUGAGUAACACGUGGGUAAUCUGCCCUUCACUCUGGGACAAGCCCUGGAAACGGGGUCUAAUACCGGAUAUCACUUCCACUCGCAUGGGUGGGGGUUGAAAGCUCCGGCGGUGAAGGAUGAGCCCGCGGCCUAUCAGCUUGUUGGUGAGGUAACGGCUCACCAAGGCGACGACGGGUAGCCGGCCUGAGAGGGCGACCGGCCACACUGGGACUGAGACACGGCCCAGACUCCUACGGGAGGCAGCAGUGGGGAAUAUUGCACAAUGGGCGAAAGCCUGAUGCAGCGACGCCGCGUGAGGGAUGACGGCCUUCGGGUUGUAAACCUCUUUCAGCAGGGAAGAAGCGAAAGUGACGGUACCUGCAGAAGAAGCGCCGGCUAACUACGUGCCAGCAGCCGCGGUAAUACGUAGGGCGCAAGCGUUGUCCGGAAUUAUUGGGCGUAAAGAGCUCGUAGGCGGCUUGUCACGUCGGGUGUGAAAGCCCGGGGCUUAACCCCGGGUCUGCAUUCGAUACGGGCUAGCUAGAGUGUGGUAGGGGAGAUCGGAAUUCCUGGUGUAGCGGUGAAAUGCGCAGAUAUCAGGAGGAACACCGGUGGCGAAGGCGGAUCUCUGGGCCAUUACUGACGCUGAGGAGCGAAAGCGUGGGGAGCGAACAGGAUUAGAUACCCUGGUAGUCCACGCCGUAAACGGUGGGAACUAGGUGUUGGCGACAUUCCACGUCGUCGGUGCCGCAGCUAACGCAUUAAGUUCCCCGCCUGGGGAGUACGGCCGCAAGGCUAAAACUCAAAGGAAUUGACGGGGGCCCGCACAAGCAGCGGAGCAUGUGGCUUAAUUCGACGCACGCGAAGAACCUUACCAAGGCUUGACAUCGCCCGGAAAGCAUCAUAGAUGAUGCCCCCCUUGUGGUCAGGUGACAGGUGGCUGCAUGGGCUGUCGUCAGCUCGUGUCGUGAGAUGUUGGGUUAAGUCCCGCAACGAGCGCAACCCUUGUUCUGUGUUGCCAGCAUGCCCUUCGGGGUGAUGGGGACUCACAGGAGACCGCCGGGGUCAACUCGGAGGAAGGUGGGGACGACGUCAAGUCAUCAUGCCCCUUAUGUCUUGGGCUGCACACGUGCUACAAUGGCAGGUACAAUGAGCUGCGAUACCGUGAGGUGGAGCGAAUCUCAAAAAGCCUGUCUCAGUUCGGAUUGGGGUCUGCAACUCGACCCCAUGAAGUCGGAGUUGCUAGUAAUCGCAGAUCAGCAUUGCUGCGGUGAAUACGUUCCCGGGCCUUGUACACACCGCCCGUCACGUCACGAAAGUCGGUAACACCCGAAGCCGGUGGCCCAACCCCCUUGUGGGGAGGGAGCUGUCGAAGGUGGGACUGGCGAUUGGGACGAAGUCGUAACAAGGUA